CCUCCUUUCUAAGGAAAUCGAAAAAUAUUAAAUCAAUUAUUUUCGAUUUAAAAAAAACCGGUAAUGUGACCGUCCUCAUUUCUCUUCUUUUAAUGUCUCUGAGUAAAAAUAAUGUAAGGGGCCGGUAGCUCAGGUGGUUAGAGCGCACCCCUGAUAAGGGUGAGGUCGGAAGUUCGAAUCUUCCUCGGCCCACCAAUAUUAUGGGGGAUUAGCUCAGCUGGGAGAGCGCCUGAUUUGCAUUCAGGAGGUCAGCGGUUCGAUCCCGCUAUCCUCCACCAAAAUUUGAGACAUUUAGCUUUUUUAAAUUGUGAAUAUUAUUAUUAUCAAUAUCUAUAUCCGAUUGUUUUCAGAUAUUUUUCUGAAGAUAAUCAAAACAAAAAUUUGAAUUUUACACAGAAAGUUUUUUUCUGUGCAUAAAUCAAGCGUUUAAGGGCGAUGGGCGGAUGCCUUGGCACUGUAAGACGAUGAAGGACGUGGUAUGCUGCGAUAAGUUCGGGGAGCUGUAUGCAAGCUUUGAUCCGAAAAUUCCGAA
This 532-nucleotide unclassified non-coding RNA is filed under the name uncultured Pelagibacterales bacterium. RNAcentral describes it as "partial 16S-23S ribosomal RNA intergenic spacer". The stretch from base 417 to 532 matches the Rfam family "Bacterial large subunit ribosomal RNA", at positions 1 to 118 of the family's 2925-position model. The record is from RNAcentral. Lineage: Bacteria; Pseudomonadati; Pseudomonadota; Alphaproteobacteria; Candidatus Pelagibacterales.